This 102-nucleotide non-coding RNA is filed under the name Faecalibacterium sp. CAG:1138. Its description in RNAcentral is "Purine riboswitch aptamer". It matches the Rfam family "Purine riboswitch aptamer". From Rfam's summary of the family: Riboswitches are metabolite binding domains within certain messenger RNAs that serve as precision sensors for their corresponding targets. Allosteric rearrangement of mRNA structure is mediated by ligand binding, and this results in modulation of gene expression. A class of riboswitches that selectively recognises guanine and becomes saturated at concentrations as low as 5 nM. RNAcentral also lists the same sequence under 1 other name. The record is from Rfam by way of RNAcentral. Lineage: Bacteria; Bacillati; Bacillota; Clostridia; Eubacteriales; Oscillospiraceae.
GGACAUAACCGAAUAUUUGCCAAUAUAGGUUUGAAUAUGAAGGCUCAAACGUUUCUACCGCACACCGGAAAAGUUGCGACUAUUGGUGGGAUAGCUUAAGGG